GGCCAAGCAUCCUGUCAUGAGAGCCAGAUAGACUUGAAUUCUAAUUGUGUCACUGCCUUUCUACCUCCCUUUUCUCUUUUGCAAAAUGGGGAUAAUAAUGGUUCUGUUCAGUUGGUAGGAUUGAACGAGAUGGUGCUAGAAGGGCUCGCUUAGCACCGCGCCCUGUGUUCAGACACUGCAGGAUCCAUCAUCAUCAUCCCUGUUGACUCAGGCUAGGCGAACCUCGGCGUCACCAUCCGCAAAAGAGGAACAGUAUCCGCCCUGUACCUUGCUUCAUGGGAUUGUGGUGGAUUUGAAUGAAAUGUAUGCAGAGCUUGCACUGUGUCUGGCACGCUGAGAAUAGCCAAGGACUGUUGUCCUUUAUAUUGUUCUUGAGCCUGUACUGUGCCGGCGUAGGCAGACACCAGGACAUCCUGCUGCCUCUAAUAAUACCGUCACCCCCACGUCCUAGAGCUUUAUGCCUAGAUGGGGUGCAGACUGCACCAAGUCUCCCGUUUUCUCGUUUUCUAGAGAGAACUCGUGCAGUGGGGAUUGCUACUUUCAGAAGGAAACUGGAGAAGGUCGUGAACAUUCACCCCAGUCCUUUUUAUCCAGCGAGAUUCACGCCUGGAAAACUGCUGUCUGGUCAGAAAGACUUUGCUGAGAAGAGCCAAGAGCUGAAACCCAGCCGAGGUGUUUCAGGAAAGAGGAGGACCACACAUCCCCAUUCAUUGACAUGUGACCACAGAGGAUCCCUCCCUGCCACUUCCAGGCUUGGCCAUGUGACCUGCCUUGGCUGGUGGAAUAUGAAUGGAUACGACAGAAGCCAUGUCUCUGCAACUUUGAGAGCAGUUACAUGGCUUGGUUCUGCCUCUUGUUCUUUUCCCUUUGCCAAGAGAACACAAUGUCUUGACUGUGGGCUGCUCCUUCAGCACAUGUCCCAGAACGAGAAGGAGCAUGGAGCAGAGCCACAGUGGCCACCAUGCAGCUCUCAACACGAGCAAGAUUGAAGCUGAUUUUUGUUACUGCAGCACAACUUAGCAAGCUCUGACAAAUACAGAAGGCUCUACUGGACAUCUCGGGGUAUAUCUAUCCAGCUUUCCUUCCUCCCAAAUGGAGACCACAAUGCUGCCACCUACAAGCUGUGUGAUUUUGAGAAAAAUCACAGAACGUCUUGGCCUCAAAUUUCUACACUAACAGACAGAGCUUUCUCCCAGCUUUCUGACCAGCAAUUCUGAAGAACUAGCCUAUCACUUGACACUUGACCCCUGUCGUUCAUGAGUUAUCUUUGCACGUGGUAGUAUCAUACCAGGGAAGUCCCCCCAAAUUUUGAGUCCAACAGCUAUGUAUUCUUGAGCAAAUUGUUUUAUCUCUCUUAUCUGUAAAAUUUUUCUCCUCUAUUAAAGGAAAAUGCAUCACAC
This 1400-nucleotide long non-coding RNA is filed under the name Equus caballus (horse). RNAcentral describes it as "lncRNA (ENSECAG00000042203.2)". Lineage: Eukaryota; Metazoa; Chordata; Mammalia; Perissodactyla; Equidae. The record is from RNAcentral.